CUUUUAAGAAAGUUCAAAAAGUUCCUCAUAAAGAAAAACUUGAAGAAGAAGGAAGAUGAAGAGAAAAGAUAAAAGAAAAAUGUUACACGCUACAAUUACAAUAAGAGGGAACACUACAAGUUGGAUUAUCUUUUACUCAAGAAGCACCCCAAAAAAAUAAAGAAAAAAGCAAUAUUAAGGAUUUAGAGAUAUAGUGACACUUAAGCUCC
This 209-nucleotide long non-coding RNA is filed under the name Elaeis guineensis (African oil palm). RNAcentral describes it as "long non-coding RNA (EGUI_LNC035331)". The record is from RNAcentral. Lineage: Eukaryota; Viridiplantae; Streptophyta; Magnoliopsida; Arecales; Arecaceae.